Molecule: ribosomal RNA, 119 nt
Filed under: Trichobilharzia regenti
Lineage: Eukaryota; Metazoa; Platyhelminthes; Trematoda; Strigeidida; Schistosomatidae
Source: RNAcentral
GUCGGCGACCGUACCACGUUGAAAGCACCGGUUCUCGUCCGAUCACCGAAGUUAAGCAACGUUGGGCCCGGUUAGUACUUGCAUGGGUGAUCGGCUGGGAAUACCGGGUGUUGCCGUCU